ACCCGCUGAACUUAAGCAUAUCAAUAAGCGGAGGAAAAGAAACCAACAGGGAUUGCCUCAGUAACGGCGAGUGAAGCGGCAAGAGCUCAAAUUUAAAAGCCGACGUAGCUUUAAGAGACGUCCGCAUUGUAAUUUGAAGAGGCAUUCUCGGGUCGGGGCUCAGGCCUAAGUUCCUUGGAAGAGGGCGUCGUGGAGGGUGAGAACCCCGUUCGCGGCCUGCUGUCGACCUUUCCCCGAUCCACACGAGGUGCCAUCGAAGAGUCGAGUUGUUUGGGAAUGCAGCUCAAAGCGGGUGGUAAAUUCCAUCUAAAGCUAAAUAUUGACGGGAGACCGAUAGCGAACAAGUAGAGUGAUCGAAAGAUGAAAAGCACUUUGGAGAGAGAGUUAAACAGCACGUGAAAUUGUUGAAAGGGAAGCGCUUGAGACCAGUCACGGACCGAGGCGAUCAGUGGGACGUCCCUCUCGGGGGAGGAACCGCGCACUCGCUUUUCGGGUUUUCCGGGUCAACAUCGGUUGGGACGGUGUCAGAAAGGUCGCGGGAACGUGGCUCCCUUCACGGGGAGUGUUAUAGCCCGUGGCGUCAAAGUCGCCAGUUUCGACCGAGGACCGCGCUCGUCUUUUUCGAGCAAGGAUGUUGACGUAAUGGUCCC
RNAcentral lists this ribosomal RNA (650 nucleotides) under uncultured fungus. Its description in RNAcentral is "eukaryotic LSU rRNA". It matches the Rfam family "Eukaryotic large subunit ribosomal RNA", at positions 23 to 641 of the family's 3401-position model. Lineage: Eukaryota; Fungi. The record is from RNAcentral.